This is a non-coding RNA of Ictidomys tridecemlineatus (thirteen-lined ground squirrel), 72 nucleotides long. Lineage: Eukaryota; Metazoa; Chordata; Mammalia; Rodentia; Sciuridae. The record is from Rfam.
UGGGGUUUGGCUCAGUGGUAGAGCACUUGCCUGGCAUGGGUUAGGCACUGAGUUUGAUUCUCAGCACCGCAU